AAAUCUCGUGCCAGCCACCGCGGUUAGACGAGAGGCCCCAGUUGAUAACAUAACGGCGUAAAGGGUGGUUAAGGACAGAAAAAAUUUUAAAGCCAAAUGGCCCCCUGGCCGUCAUACGCUUCUAGGCGCCCGAAGCCCCAACACGAAAGUAGCUUUAAACAAGCCCACCUGAACCCACGAAAGCUGAGAAACAAACUGGGAUUAGAUACCCCACUAUGCUCAGCCAUAAACCUAGACAUUUAACUACAAUUUAUGUCCGCCAGGGUACUACGAGCAUCAGCUUGAAACCCAAAAGACCUGACGGUGUCUCAAACCCCCCUAGAGGAGCCUGUUCUAGAACCGAUAAUCCCCGUUAAACCUCACCACAUCUAGCCACCCCAGCCUAUAUACCGCCGUCGUCAGCUUACCCUGUGAAGGACCUAAAAGUAAGCAAAAUGGGUACAACCCAAAACGUCAGGUCAAGGUGUAGCGCAUGAAGUGGAAAGAAAUGGGCUACAUUUUCUACCACAGAACAUCACGAAUAUGCACCAUGAAAUAAUGCUUGAAGGAGGAUUUAGUAGUAAAAAGGAAACAGAGAGUCCUUUUGAACCCGGCCCUGAGACGCGUACACACCGCCCGUC
RNAcentral lists this ribosomal RNA (620 nucleotides) under Hypselobarbus curmuca (Curmuca barb). RNAcentral describes it as "partial 12S ribosomal RNA". It matches the Rfam family "Bacterial small subunit ribosomal RNA", at positions 498 to 1398 of the family's 1533-position model. The record is from RNAcentral. Lineage: Eukaryota; Metazoa; Chordata; Actinopteri; Cypriniformes; Cyprinidae.